This 498-nucleotide ribosomal RNA is filed under the name Bacillus sp. CSu2_48. RNAcentral describes it as "bacterial SSU rRNA". It matches the Rfam family "Bacterial small subunit ribosomal RNA", at positions 71 to 553 of the family's 1533-position model. The record is from RNAcentral. Lineage: Bacteria; Bacillati; Bacillota; Bacilli; Caryophanales; Bacillaceae.
GACGGGAGCUUGCUCCCUUAGGUCAGCGGCGGACGGGUGAGUAACACGUGGGUAACCUGCCUGUAAGACUGGGAUAACUCCGGGAAACCGGGGCUAAUACCGGAUGCUUGAUUGAACCGCAUGGUUCAAUCAUAAAAGGCGGCUUCGGCUGCCGUUUACAGAUGGACCCGCGGCGCAUUAGCUAGUUGGUGAGGUAACGGCUCACCAAGGCGACGAUGCGUAGCCGACCUGAGAGGGUGAUCGGCCACACUGGGACUGAGACACGGCCCAGACUCCUACGGGAGGCAGCAGUAGGGAAUCUUCCGCAAUGGACGAAAGUCUGACGGAGCAACGCCGCGUGAGUGAUGAAGGUUUUCGGAUCGUAGAGCUCUGUUGUUAGGGAAGAACAAGUACCGUUCGAAUAGGGCGGUACCUUGACGGUACCUAACCAGAAAGCCACGGCUAACUACGUGCCAGCAGCCGCGGUAAUACGUAGGUGGCAAGCGUUGUCCGGAAUUA